Molecule: ribosomal RNA, 2115 nt
Filed under: Triticum aestivum (bread wheat)
Lineage: Eukaryota; Viridiplantae; Streptophyta; Magnoliopsida; Poales; Poaceae
Description: partial small subunit ribosomal RNA
Source: RNAcentral
AUGUCUAGCCACCAAACGUCCUCAGAUCAAGUUCUCAGCAUGGUGGUGGAGCAAGCAAUUUACCCAAUCACCGUUGAUGUGAUGUAUUCCCUCUUCGGUCCCUUCGGUAUUGAGGAGUUGGUGGUGUAUCCCCCAACAAUAUCAGAGGAUGGACAGCCAUGUGUGGCGGCGGAUGUGCGGUUUUGUUCAGCACACGCGGCGGCAUACUGGGACGGCCGCUGCAUCUACUUCCGGUGCUGUCGUCUGCAGAUGAGGAACGCAACGCCUGACGUGUUGCCGUCCCGAACCUCACCACCAACGAGCACAGCAACGCCAGAUGCCUUCAUGGCGGGUGAUAUUGCUACAUCGGCACACUCCACCAUCUUGGACGCCUCCGUCAACAUCCCUACCGCGGCCAGCACCAGCACGCCGCCUCACUUCCAGGAUACAUCCCCCAAGUCUUCCCUCGACAGCAACGGCCGCGUCCUCGUCACGGGCACGACCGAGUACACAUUGGUGGCGGCAAAUCCAGAAGUCGUCACCGAGCUCGCCGUCCUCCCCGGCGACCCCUUCUCCACCACCAAGGCCCAGGAGAUCCCCAAGUUUGCCCAUGAUGCAACCCCGCUCUGCAUCUCGAUGGUGCCCGUCACCUGUUCGACGGAGUGCUCGACCCAGGUCGAUGCCAUCGACAGCGUCGACGAAGCCCAUGACGGCGCCACCGUCGCAGCGGAGGUUCACAACACCACCACCGCACUCGGUCCCGAGCUCGCGAUCGACCUCUGCAACACCACAGCGGCCAUCGGUGUAGCCACCUGUGGUCACCACGACAAGUUCGACGGCCUCAACAUCCCCGUGAAGGCCAUCAUCAGCCUGCCGCCCCACAUCCAGGUUACAUUCCCGAUUUUUUCCACAAUCAGCAACCGUCGUGUCGUUGUUGCUGGGACGGACGAGUACGCACUCGUGGAAGCCAUUCCAGACAUCGCCAUCGAGCUUGCUGUCCAGCCGCCGACAAGGCACGAAGGGCUGCCGAUACGGCCGACACCAUGGCCAUCAUAUCUGGUGCAUCAUAGUGCAGAGGAGAAUGAGGUUCGACCAACUCCGUGGCCGUCGUUUUCUUGCUCUCAUGAAGGCAUGACUCUGAACCAUAAAAGCCUGCUGCCACAAGUUACUUGUGUGAUGAAGAUCCCAAUCGGUAUGCCAUCAGAGGACGCUGCAGAUUCAAAUUUCUAUGUGCAAUUGUUCAGGCAUGUGAAGCAAAUGGGUGUGCUGAGCACAGAACUCUCCCACAAUCUUGGUCUGCGGUUAAGGCUAUUUGAGCCAUUACUGUCCUCUGAUCCGGCUACCAUUACAGUGCAUUGUUUGAUCUCCAUGUUGCCAAGAGAUACAACUGUCCUGAGUCAUCCGAUAAUGCAAGUUAUGGGUGAUCUAAACCUGGGUGUUGUGGAAUGGCGACUGGUUAUCUGUUCUAUGGCGGCACAUUUAUUUCAGAACAUGCAAAUUGGGCCGUAUGAACUAGGUUGUGCUGCUAUUGUUUCCCCUAAUUGCUCUAAACAUUCCCAAUGGAAAGUUGCAUGGCCACUCAGUUCCAAAAGGAAAACAUCUGCUGGCAGGCCCUGUUUUAUGCCAUGGCCAUCAUUUGCUUGCUCUCCUGACGGAGUUACCCUGAAGCACACAUGGAUGGUACCACAAGUCAUUUAUGCGAUGAAGAGUUUAUCUGGUAAUCUGAAUUCUCUUAGAGCUUUCUCAAGUUAUUUUCCAAAUCUGCAACUGAAGUCCAGAUUCAGUCAAACAAAUGUCCACCUGAAGCUUCCAUGGCCAUCUGAUUCUUGCAAUUGCCGAGCAGUGCAAGUGUGUUCCGAACUGCCUAAGGUGGAAUAUUUUGAACACCAGUUUAUGGGUGUUUGCGAGCAUCACGUAGCGGUUUGGGACUAUGCUGUUCUGGGUUGCAUUCCUAUUUCUGACAAAUUGCAGGGGAUAAUUCAUCUUAUGCAUAUGUCAGUGCGCUGGAUUUUUUUGAGUCAAGAAGAAUUUAAAGGCAGUGGUCGUGUUUCAAUCGACUUUCACACUAACAAUGCAUGGGAACGGUGCUCCAUUUUCCUUGGGAAUUGCAUAAGGAUACUUCCAGUGCAGCUCUAA